AUAACUAAAAUACACAUGAUCUGGCUAGAACAUAAAACGUAGCUACAUUAGCCACAAUUUAGCCACAAAAUUGUCACGUUAAUUAUGUGGCUACAAUUUGGCAGCCACGUUUUUGCUACAUAAUUUUAAUGGCUAUAUUAGUUUGUAUAUACUUUCAACCCCAAACUUAAAACUUAAAACAUAUAUCCCUAAUACUAAAACCAGUCUCUAAAUUUAAUAUUUUAAAAUUUUAACAAAAUUAUUAUUUCUUUAAACUUCAUUCUAAAUCUAAAUGCUAAACUACAUACCUCAAAUCCUAUAUCCUAAAUACAAACUCCAACAAUAAUAUUCUUAAACUUAAACUCCAAUCUUAAGAAUGAGACUCUAAACUUAAUCUUUUAAAAAAAACUUAAUCUGAAACCACAUACUUAAUCUUAAACAAGAACCCUAAACCACAUUUUUAAACCCUAUAUCAUUAAUAUUAAACCUUAAAUUUAAUAAAAUCUAAUUCAUAUAAUAUAUAUAAUAUAUAUCCCAAACUAUAUAUAACACUUCAAAUUUUAAAUUCUCCAUUUCAAAAAUAAAUUAACCACUAAAUUAAACCAUAUAUCCUAAACCCCAAACCUAAUUUUCCAAAAAAAAAAUCAUAAACAUCAACCCUUAUAUUUUAAACUUCUAAUUAUUAAAAUAAAACUAUAAACUACAAGACCAUAACUAUAAUCCUAAAUUAUAAAAUAUAAUUAUUAAUCUUAAAUAUAAACCCCAA
Molecule: long non-coding RNA, 745 nt
Filed under: Brassica napus (rape)
Lineage: Eukaryota; Viridiplantae; Streptophyta; Magnoliopsida; Brassicales; Brassicaceae
Description: long non-coding RNA (BNAP_LNC005489)
Source: RNAcentral